RNAcentral lists this ribosomal RNA (319 nucleotides) under uncultured eukaryote. RNAcentral's name for it is "partial 18S ribosomal RNA". It matches the Rfam family "Eukaryotic small subunit ribosomal RNA", at positions 1470 to 1796 of the family's 1831-position model. The record is from RNAcentral.
CCCUUAGAUGUUCUGGGCAGCACGCGCGCUACAAUGGUCUUCGCAAACGGAUGCAUUCUCGAAGGAGGAUGCCAAUCUUGGAAUCUAUGCCUUGGUCGGGACAGUUGCUUGCAAUUUUUCGACUCGAACCAGGAAUUCCUUGUAAUCGUGAUUCAUCACAUCACGAUGAAUACGUCCCUGCCCUUUGUACGCACCGCCCGUCGCUCCUACCGAUCGAAGAGUUAGGUGAAUUGUUUUGAUCGAUAAGAUUUGACUAUGGUCAACUCUCGUUGUGAAAUUCUGUGAAUCUGACUGUUUAGAGGAAGGAAAAGUCGUAACA